GGGAAUAUUGGGCAAUGGGCGAGAGCCUGACCCAGCCAUGCCGCGUGCAGGAAGAAGGCCUUCUGGGUUGUAAACUGCUUUUAUCUGGGAAGAAAACGCCCCUGCGGGGGUCACUGACGGUACCAGAUGAAUAAGCACCAGCUAACUCCGUGCCAGCAGCCGCGGUAAUACGGAGGGUGCAAGCGUUGUCCGGAUUUAUUGGGUUUAAAGGGUGCGUAGGCGGCCCGUUAAGUCAGCGGUGAAAUCCCACGGCUCAACCGUGGAACUGCCGUUGAUACUGGCGGGCUUGAGUUCGGUCGAGGCGGGCGGAACUGGUGGUGUAGCGGUGAAAUGCAUAGAUACCACCAAGAACCCCGAUUGCGUAGGCAGCUCGCUGGGCCGAAACUGACGCUGAGGCACGAAAGCGUGGGGAGCGAA
This 417-nucleotide ribosomal RNA is filed under the name uncultured bacterium. Its description in RNAcentral is "bacterial SSU rRNA". It matches the Rfam family "Bacterial small subunit ribosomal RNA", at positions 357 to 772 of the family's 1533-position model. The record is from RNAcentral.